RNAcentral lists this ribosomal RNA (458 nucleotides) under uncultured Lactobacillus sp. RNAcentral's name for it is "bacterial SSU rRNA". It matches the Rfam family "Bacterial small subunit ribosomal RNA", at positions 86 to 524 of the family's 1533-position model. The record is from RNAcentral. Lineage: Bacteria; Bacillati; Bacillota; Bacilli; Lactobacillales; Lactobacillaceae.
UACAGGCUAGCGGCGGACGGGUGAGUAACACGUGGGUAACCUGCCCCAAGAGAUCGGGGAUAACACCUGGAAACAGAUGCUAAUACCGGAUAACAACAGAUGAUGCCUAUCAACUGUUUUAAAAGAUGGUUCUGCUAUCACUCUUGGGAUGGACCUGCGGUGCAUUAGCUAGUUGGUAGGGUAACGGCCUACCAAGGCGAUGAUACAUAGCCGAGUUGAGAGACUGAUCGGCCACAUUGGGGACUGAGACACGGCCCAAAAACUCCUACGGGAGGCAGCAGUAGGGAAUCUUCCACAAUGGACGCAAGUCUGAUGGAGCAACGCCGCGUGAGUGAAGAAGGGUUUCGGCUCGUAAAGCUCUGUUGUUGGUGAAGAAGGACAGGGGUAGUAACUGACCUUUGUUUGACGGUAAUCAAUUAGAAAGUCACGGCUAACUACGUGCCAGCAGCCGCGGUAAU